Molecule: ribosomal RNA, 253 nt
Filed under: uncultured bacterium
Lineage: Bacteria
Description: partial 16S ribosomal RNA
Rfam family: Bacterial small subunit ribosomal RNA
Source: RNAcentral
UACAGAGGGGGUAAGCGUUGUUCGGAAUUACUGGGCGUAAAGGGCGCGUAGGUGGCCUUCUAAGUUGAACGUGAAAUCCCUGGGCUCAACCCAGGAACUGCGUCCAAGACUGGGAGGCUUGAAUCCGGGAGAGGGAUGCGGAAUUCCAGGUGUAGCGGUGAAAUGCGUAGAUAUCAAGAGGAACACCUGAGGUGAAGACGGGUUGCUAGGCUGACACUGACGCUGAGGCGCGAAAGCUAGGGGAGCAAACGGG